This 433-nucleotide ribosomal RNA is filed under the name uncultured bacterium. RNAcentral's name for it is "partial 16S ribosomal RNA". It matches the Rfam family "Bacterial small subunit ribosomal RNA", at positions 29 to 507 of the family's 1533-position model. The record is from RNAcentral.
AACGAACGCUGGCGGCAUGCCUAACACAUGCAAGUCGAACGAGACCUUCGGGUCUAGUGGCGCACGGGUUCGUAACGCGUGGGAACCUGCCCUUAGGUUCGGAAUAACUCCCCGAAAGGGGUGCUAAUACCGGAUAAUGUCUUCGGACCAAAGAUUUAUCGCCUUUGGAUGGGCCCGCGUUGGAUUAGCUAGUUGGUAGGGUAAAAGCCUACCAAGGCGACGAUCCAUAGCUGGUCUGAGAGGAUGAUCAGCCACACUGGGACUGAGACACGGCCCAGACUCCUACGGGAGGCAGCAGUGGGGAAUAUUGGACAAUGGGCGAAAGCCUGAUCCAGCAAUGCCGCGUGAGUGAUGAAGGCCUUAGGGUUGUAAAGCUCUUUUACCCGGGAUGAUAAUGACAGUACCGGGAGAAUAAGCGCCGGCUAACUCCGUG